RNAcentral lists this ribosomal RNA (753 nucleotides) under uncultured bacterium. RNAcentral's name for it is "bacterial SSU rRNA". It matches the Rfam family "Bacterial small subunit ribosomal RNA", at positions 62 to 804 of the family's 1533-position model. The record is from RNAcentral.
UCGUGGGGCAGCAGGUCCGUAGCAAUACGGAUGCUGGCGACCGGCAAACGGGUGCGGAACACGUACACAACCUUCCUUCAAGUGGGGGAUAGCCCGGGGAAACCCGGAUUAAUACCCCGUAACAUAAUGAAGUGGCAUCACUUUAUUAUUAUAGCAGCAAUGCGCUAGAAGAUGGGUGUGCGACUGAUUAGGCAGUUGGCGGGGUAACGGCCCACCAAACCUACGAUCAGUAACUGGUGUGAGAGCACGACCAGUCACACGGGCACUGAGACACGGGCCCGACUCCUACGGGAGGCAGCAGUAAGGAAUAUUGGUCAAUGGACGCAAGUCUGAACCAGCCAUGCCGCGUGGAGGAUGAAGGUCCUCUGGAUUGUAAACUUCUUUUACCUGGGAAGAAACCCACAAAUUCUUUUGUGGUUGACGGUACCAGGUGAAUAAGCACCGGCUAACUCCGUGCCAGCAGCCGCGGUAAUACGGAGGGUGCAAGCGUUAUCCGGAUUCACUGGGUUUAAAGGGUGCGUAGGUGGGUUGGUAAGUCAGUGGUGAAAUCUCCAGGCUUAACUUGGAAACUGCCAUUGAUACUAUCAAUCUUGAAUACCGUGGAGGUCAGCGGAAUAUGUCAUGUAGCGGUGAAAUGCUUAGAGAUGACAUAGAACACCAAUUGCGAAGGCAGCUGGCUACGCGGAUAUUGACACUGAUGCACGAAAGCGUGGGGAUCAAACAGGAUUAGAUACCCUGGUAGUCCACGCCCUA